AAAGUACUCCCUCCGUUCGGAAUUACUUGUCUUGAAAAUGGAUGUAUCUAGAAUUAAAAUAUGUCUAGAUAUAUCAACUUCUGCGACAAGUAAUUCCGAAUGGAGGGAGUUGAAG
This is a non-coding RNA of Triticum aestivum (bread wheat), 115 nucleotides long. The record is from Rfam. NCBI's taxonomy places the organism in Eukaryota, Viridiplantae, Streptophyta, Magnoliopsida, Poales, Poaceae.